RNAcentral lists this unclassified non-coding RNA (234 nucleotides) under Hevea brasiliensis (rubber tree). Lineage: Eukaryota; Viridiplantae; Streptophyta; Magnoliopsida; Malpighiales; Euphorbiaceae. The record is from RNAcentral.
CGCAUCCAGGCUGGAUCAUCAACCUCAGACGAAAUAGCCGCGGGAGAGGCAAUCCGCAUUUUCACCGGCGCGCCGAUGCCCGUGGGUGCGGAUACCGUGGUCAUGCNAAGAUGUGCGUCUCGAUGAAGCGGGCAAGGUGGUGCUGCCGCCGGGCCUCAAGGCUGGAGCGAACGUGCGGCCUGUGGGCGAGGAUAUCGCCGAAGGUCAUGCCGCGUUGCCGGCAGGCCGCCGGCU